UACGUAGGGUGCAAGCGUUGUCCGGAAUUAUUGGGCGUAAAGAGCUCGUAGGCGGUUUGUCGCGUCUGCUGUGAAAACGCGAGGCUCAACCUCGCGCCUGCAGUGGGUACGGGCAGACUAGAGUGCUGUAGGGGGAGACUGGAAUUCCUGGUGUAGCGGUGAAAUGCGCAGAUAUCAGGAGGAACACCGAUGGCGAAGGCAGGUCACUGGGCCGCAACUGACGCUGAGGAGCGAAAGCAUGGGGAGCGAACAGG
This 254-nucleotide ribosomal RNA is filed under the name uncultured bacterium. RNAcentral describes it as "partial 16S ribosomal RNA". It matches the Rfam family "Bacterial small subunit ribosomal RNA", at positions 524 to 776 of the family's 1533-position model. The record is from RNAcentral.